RNAcentral lists this ribosomal RNA (216 nucleotides) under Glomeromycotina sp. RNAcentral's name for it is "partial small subunit ribosomal RNA". The stretch from base 44 to 216 matches the Rfam family "Eukaryotic small subunit ribosomal RNA", at positions 690 to 864 of the family's 1831-position model. Lineage: Eukaryota; Fungi; Glomeromycota. The record is from RNAcentral.
GGGUCAAUAGGUUGGUCGUGCCACCGGUACGUACUGGUCACACUGAUUCCUCCUUCCUGAAGAACCGUAAUGCCAUUAAUUUGGUGUUGCGGGGAAACAGGACUGUUACUUUGAAAAAAUUAGAGUGUUUAAAGCAAGCUAACGCUUGAAUACAUUAGCAUGGAAUAAUGAAAUAGGACGAUCGAUCCUAUUUUGUUGGUUUCUAGGAUUGACGUA